GUAGGAGGCGAGCGUUGUCCGGAGUUACUGGGCGUAAAGGGUGCGCAGGCGGCGUUCCGCGUGGCGAGAUGAAAUCUCCUGGCUUACCUGGGAGGAUGGUCGCCAGACGGGAGCGCUUGAGGGUCGGAGAGGGGCGUGGAAUUCCGGGUGGAGCGGUGAAAUGCGUAGAGAUCCGGAGGAACACCGACGGCGUAGGCAGCGCCCUGGACGACACCUGACGCUGAGGCACGAAAGCUGGGGGAGCGAACAGGAUUAGAUACCCUGGUAGUCCCAGCCCUAAACGAUGUCCACCAGGUACCGGGGGGAUCGACCCCUUCGGCGCCGCAGCUAACGUGAUGAGUGGACCGCCUGGGGAGUACGGCCGCAAGGUUG
This 372-nucleotide ribosomal RNA is filed under the name uncultured bacterium. RNAcentral describes it as "bacterial SSU rRNA". It matches the Rfam family "Bacterial small subunit ribosomal RNA", at positions 527 to 896 of the family's 1533-position model. The record is from RNAcentral.